AUUGAACGCUGGCGGCAGGCCUAACACAUGCAAGUCGAACGGUAACAGAAAGCAGCUUGCUGCUUUGCUGACGAGUGGCGGACGGGUGAGUAAUGUCUGGGAAACUGCCUGAUGGAGGGGGAUAACUACUGGAAACGGUAGCUAAUACCGCAUAACGUCACAAGACCAAAGAGGGGGACCUUCGGGCCUCUUGCCAUCGGAUGUGCCCAGAUGGGAUUAGCUAGUAGGUGGGGUAACGGCUCACCUAGGCGACGAUCCCUAGCUGGUCUGAGAGGAUGACCAGCCACACUGGAACUGAGACACGGUCCAGACUCCUACGGGAGGCAGCAGUGGGGAAUAUUGCACAAUGGGCGCAAGCCUGAUGCAGCCAUGCCGCGUGUAUGAAGAAGGCCUUCGGGUUGUAAAGUACUUUCAGCGAGGAGGAAGGUGUUGUGGUUAAUAACCACAGCAAUUGACGUUACUCACAGAAGAAGCACCGGCUAACUCCGUGCCAGCCGCCGCGGUAA
Molecule: ribosomal RNA, 506 nt
Filed under: uncultured bacterium
Lineage: Bacteria
Description: partial 16S ribosomal RNA
Rfam family: Bacterial small subunit ribosomal RNA
Source: RNAcentral